This 506-nucleotide ribosomal RNA is filed under the name uncultured Anaerolineaceae bacterium. RNAcentral describes it as "bacterial SSU rRNA". It matches the Rfam family "Bacterial small subunit ribosomal RNA", at positions 8 to 523 of the family's 1533-position model. Lineage: Bacteria; Bacillati; Chloroflexota; Anaerolineae; Anaerolineales; Anaerolineaceae. The record is from RNAcentral.
AGAGUUUGAUCCUGGCUCAGGAUGAACGCUGGCGGCGUGCUUAAUACAUGCAAGUCGAACGAGGGACUUCUGUCUUCGGAUGGAGGUUUCCUAGUGGCGAACGGGUGAGUAACGCGUUGGUGACCUGCCCCGAAGUGGGGGAUAACAGUUCGAAAGGACUGCUAAUACCUCAUGUGAUCAGCUGGAUUAGAUGCCUACUGAUUAAAGGCGAAAGCCGCUUUGGGAGGGGCCUGCGUCCCAUCAGCUAGUUGGUAGGGUAAUGGCCUACCAAGGCGAUGACGGGUAGGGGACCUGAGAGGGUGGCCCCCCACACUGGCACUGAAACACGGGCCAGACACCUACGGGUGGCAGCAGUAGGGAAUAUUGGACAAUGGGCGAAAGCCUGAUCCAGCAACGCCGCGUGCGCGAUGACGGCCUUCGGGUUGUAAAGCGCUUUUAGAGGAGAUGAGAAAGGACAGUAUCCUCAGAAUAAGCCUCGGCGAACUACGUGCCAGCAGCCGCGGUAA